Molecule: long non-coding RNA, 1081 nt
Organism: Trichoplusia ni (cabbage looper)
Lineage: Eukaryota; Metazoa; Arthropoda; Insecta; Lepidoptera; Noctuidae
Exons: 2
Source: RefSeq, a predicted model, not a curated record
UUAUUAUAAUAGUAUAUAAUUAUGUUAUGUUCUCAUUUUAUUUGUUCGUAAUAUAUUUGACUCGCCUCUUGGUAUAGUGGUUAGUGUAGUUUAGUAGCCAGUCCAUUGAAGUAGUGGCCUAUUCAUGCAGUCUUGAAGUAGUAAGAAUGGCGCUGUAUAUAUAUAUAAAUAACGCUUGAAAUCUCAUGAGCUUAAAAUAGAAAUAACAGGUUUUGAAAAUUAAAUUAGCCUAAUUUAAAACCCAAUUCUUUUCCAGAAAAAUACCCAUACGAAAUAAUAAAAUCACAGAAAGGGAAGGACUUGAUUUUCAUCGGUGGUUAUACGUUUGCAAAAACAGGUGUAGGGUAAAGUACCUUUAGUCGUACCAGCGCUUAAGUCGUACCACGUCGAUAUCUGCGCACCCGUCAUGAAAAGGUGGCAUCUAACAGUGCAAUAUGGUUCUACUAAGUACCACGGGUAAACAGCAACACGUGGUGGGUUGCCGGAAUUCGCGAUCAAAAAAUAAUGAAAAAGUGAUCAAUAUGGCAAAGAAAAUUUAUAACUCUUGGAAGCAAGAUGACAUAGAUGAACACAAAAAGGAACACAAUUCACAAAUAAAAAAAGAAAGAUAGACAGAAAAUCUAACAAAGAUAAGAAACUAGAUGCUAAAGAAAAUUGGUUGUGCAAACUAACAACACUAAACAAGAUCGCAAAGAAAAUAUGACCCUAUGUAUUAAAUGCAAAGGAUGGGUACAUGAUUUAUGUGCAGAUCUCGAAAUUAAAACUAAAAAUUACAUUUGUGAUAUAUGCAUUUUAAAAAUGAUAGUUUUAUUUCCCAAAGGUACUCAUUAUUACGAAACUACUACUAACGUUUUUUUAUUGUUAUAUUUAUAAGUAAGACUGAAACUGGUCUCGUAGCAUAUAAGUCUACGCAGUUUUUUAAUUGUCCUUAGAAUUCUAGUUGGAAAGAUAUAUGUUUACUCUAAGUACGACUUAGGCUAUGGGUGGUACGAUUAAGGCAACCGGUUGCCUAAGUCGUACCGAAGGAAGGUUUUUGUAAAACCUAUAAAAAACAUUUUAUUAAAAGAUUUUUAUAUGUCUU